GGUCCUAACCCUGUUAACUGUUGUCUGUUUUUUGCUUUUCCUUCAAUGACGAUUCCUGUGUUCCUUAUUCCAGUGUCAUUGGAUAACCAGGCCAUGCUGCACUACAUCCGAGAUAAAACUGCUGUUCCUUACUUCUCCAAUUUGGUCUGGUUCAUUGGGAGCCAUGUGAUCGAACUCGAUGACUGCGUGCAGACUGAUGAGGAGCAUCGGAAUCGGGGUAAACUGAGUGAUCUGGUGGCAGAGCACCUAGACCACCUGCACUAUCUCAAUGACAUCCUGAUCAUCAACUGUGAGUUCCUCAACGAUGUGCUCACUGACCACCUGCUCAACAGGCUCUUCCUGCCCCUCUACGUGUACUCACUGGAGAACCAGGACAAGGGAGGAGAACGGCCGAAAAUUAGCCUGCCGGUGUCUCUUUAUCUUCUGUCACAGGUCUUCUUAAUUAUACAUCAUGCACCGCUGGUGAACUCGUUAGCUGAAGUCAUUCUGAAUGGUGAUCUGUCUGAGAUGUACGCUAAGACUGAACAGGAUAUUCAGAGAAGUUCUGCCAAGCCCAGCAUUCGGUGCUUCAUUAAACCCACCGAGACACUCGAGCGGUCCCUUGAGAUGAACAAGCACAAGGGCAAGAGGCGGGUGCAAAAGAGACCCAACUACAAAAACGUUGGGGAAGAAGAAGAUGAGGAGAAAGGGCCCACCGAGGAUGCCCAAGAAGACGCCGAGAAGGCUAAAGGUACAGAGGGUGGUUCAAAAGGCAUCAAGACGAGUGGGGAGAGUGAAGAGAUCGAGAUGGUGAUCAUGGAGCGUAGCAAGCUCUCAGAGCUGGCCGCCAGCACCUCCGUGCAGGAGCAGAACACCACGGACGAGGAGAAAAGCGCUGCCGCCACCUGCUCUGAGAGCGCGCAAUGGAGCAGACCCUUCCUGGAUAUGGUGUACCACGCGCUGGACAGCCCGGAUGAUGAUUACCAUGCCCUGUUCGUGCUCUGCCUCCUCUAUGCCAUGUCUCAUAAUAA
Molecule: small RNA, 1010 nt
Filed under: Pan troglodytes (chimpanzee)
Lineage: Eukaryota; Metazoa; Chordata; Mammalia; Primates; Hominidae
Description: retained intron
Source: RNAcentral